AAGUCGUAACAAGGUAACCGUAGGUGAACCUGCGGUUGGAUCAUUACAAUAAUGGACUCUGUCCAGUACACUCUCGUGUACCCUCUGUGAACCAUCUGGUUUCUUUGGCGAUGUCUCACGACUCGUCAAACUAAAACUCUGAUAAUCUCAUAAAGUCUGAGUUUUAUGAAAUACAUAAAAACUUUCAACAACGGAUCUCUUGGUUCCA
RNAcentral lists this unclassified non-coding RNA (208 nucleotides) under fungal sp. RNAcentral's name for it is "partial internal transcribed spacer region". The stretch from base 1 to 46 matches the Rfam family "Eukaryotic small subunit ribosomal RNA", at positions 1786 to 1831 of the family's 1831-position model. The record is from RNAcentral. Lineage: Eukaryota; Fungi.